GACAGGGGUGGCAAGCGUUAUUCGGAAUUAUUGGGCGUAAAGGGUGCGUAGGCGGCAUAUUAAGUCAACUGUUAAAAACCUCGGCCUAACUGAGGAUCAGCGGUAGAUACUGAUAUGCUAGAGGAUGGGAAAGAGAAGUGGAAUUCUUGGAGUAGCGGUGGAAUGCGUAGAUCUCAAGAGGAACACCAAUGGCGAAGGCAGCUUCUUGGCCCAUUUCUGACGCUAAUGCACGAAAGCGUGGGGAGCAAACAGG
Molecule: ribosomal RNA, 253 nt
Filed under: uncultured organism
Description: partial 16S ribosomal RNA
Rfam family: Bacterial small subunit ribosomal RNA
Source: RNAcentral